UACGGGGCGCAGCAGUGGGGAAUUUUGGACAAUGGAAACCUGAUCCAGCCAUCCCGCGUGUGCAGUAGAAGGCCUUCGGGUUGUAAACACUUUUGGCGGGAAAAAGCAGCGCGCAGGAUAAUACCCGAUGCAUGCAACUGACAGUUACCUGCAGAAUAGCACAGGCUUCAACUAUACGUGCAGCAGCCGCGAUAAUACGUAAGUGCAAGCGUUAAUCAAGAUUACUGGGCGUAAAGCGUGCGCAGGCGGUUCGGAAGAAAGAUGUGAAAUCCCAGAGCUUAACUUUGGAACUGCAUUUUUAACUACAAAUAGAAGUGUGUCAGAGGAGGUGGAAUUCCGCGUGUAGCAGUGAAAUGCGUAGAUAUGCGGAGGAACACCGAUGGCGAAGGCAGCCUCCUGGGAUAUUUGCUGCGAACUCAUGCACAGCGUGAAACGAGCAGGAUUAGAUACCCUCGUAG
This 458-nucleotide unclassified non-coding RNA is filed under the name uncultured Bordetella sp. RNAcentral's name for it is "partial 16S-23S ribosomal RNA intergenic spacer". It matches the Rfam family "Bacterial small subunit ribosomal RNA", at positions 340 to 793 of the family's 1533-position model. The record is from RNAcentral. Lineage: Bacteria; Pseudomonadati; Pseudomonadota; Betaproteobacteria; Burkholderiales; Alcaligenaceae.